RNAcentral lists this long non-coding RNA (249 nucleotides) under Gossypium raimondii (Peruvian cotton). RNAcentral's name for it is "long non-coding RNA (GRAI_LNC008184)". Lineage: Eukaryota; Viridiplantae; Streptophyta; Magnoliopsida; Malvales; Malvaceae. The record is from RNAcentral.
GAAUUUGGGACAACAAAGAUCAAGAAAAAGAAAGCAACAACUUGAGACCUUACCAACAGAAAAUCCACGUGAAGAAAAAAGGAAAGAAAAAUAAAAUUGUUGAAAAAAAAUAAAAGGCGAACGUGAAAAUAGAGGAGAGUUUUUUGGAAAAUCUUUUAGUUUUCAAAAAAUAAGAAAAUAAAAUAAUCCUCACAAAACCAAAUCCUGUCUAACCACAAACCCCACAACUUCUAGAGUUAAAAUUUGACC